GGGGAGUUCCCUGAGAGCCGAUAGAAGGGAAGAGGGGACGGAGGCGGGCACCCCGCAGGCGCGGCCAGCGGGCGCCUCCCCGAGUCGCCAGAGCUCCCCCGGAGCCUCCCCCGGCCCCGCUCGGCCCGUGCGGCUGCCCCCAGCUCCAGCCCCUCCCCUGAAGCCUGUGCUGUAGCCGCAGGCAGCCCCCGAGCCCUGUCGUGAGGGCAGCAAGCUGGCCCUCCGAUGUUCUCGAGUCUCCCUGAACAGGCCACGCUGUGAGUGCGGUUGUCCGUUCGUCCCCGGGGAUGCCGUUGACUGCAGCAGCCUCAGGCUUGCGUGGGCUGUCUCUGCCUGGCCUCCCUCUCCUCGCGGCGCGGGAGCAAAAAGGGGCAGGUGGAACACUUACUGGCUGUGGACGGGAGCUGCUGAAGCUGAAGCUGGAGAGGCCACAGAAUGGUAAAGCUGCUGAAGAAUAAAAUAAAGAGGAUCCAGCCAGCAGCUGCAGACAGGAGAUAGCCUGCCUCUCCAGGUGGAUGACAGUCAAGUGACUGCAGCUGCAGAGGAGGAAGGGAGAGGGGGAGAGAGACAGACAUGUCUGAAUGGUCAAAUUCUCUCAGCAGCUCCAAGAGCGGGAGAAGCUGUCAGCCCUGCAGACACCAAGGUCAGUGAAGAAGG
This is a long non-coding RNA of Haliaeetus leucocephalus (bald eagle), 657 nucleotides long. RefSeq lists it as uncharacterized. NCBI's taxonomy places the organism in Eukaryota, Metazoa, Chordata, Aves, Accipitriformes, Accipitridae. The transcript is spliced from 4 exons. The record is from RefSeq and is a predicted model, not a curated record.